GCGACUUCCGUUCUGAGAAAUCGAUUGUGUCAAUGGGUCAGUAUUUUAAGGAGCUGUUCAUUACUUAAGUGUUUUAGUUGCCUCCCAAUAUUUGCAUAAGAAAGAUGCAAAUUCCAUAGCAAAGAACUGCGAAAUAGUCAACGUUUAUCUCGAUAAAGGAAAGAGCUUUGCAAUGGAUACUCAUUUCAGCAAGUUACCAAACAGUCUGAUUGAAAUAUGUGUGGUAGUGGGCAUGGAUCAGGAUACUGGCCUUGUUCUAGCCAGAUCUGCUGAGAGCAAGAAAGCUUCAAAAAGCAGU
Molecule: long non-coding RNA, 298 nt
Organism: Stylophora pistillata
Lineage: Eukaryota; Metazoa; Cnidaria; Anthozoa; Scleractinia; Pocilloporidae
Source: RefSeq, a predicted model, not a curated record